This 497-nucleotide ribosomal RNA is filed under the name uncultured bacterium. RNAcentral describes it as "partial 16S ribosomal RNA". It matches the Rfam family "Bacterial small subunit ribosomal RNA", at positions 28 to 507 of the family's 1533-position model. The record is from RNAcentral.
GACGAACGCUGGCGGCGUGCCUAAUACAUGCAAGUUGAGCGAUAAAGCUUGGUGCUUGCACCAAUUUGAAGAGCAGCGAACGGGUGAGUAACGCGUGGGGAAUCUGCCUUUGAGCGGGGGACAACAUUUGGAAACGAAUGCUAAUACCGCAUAACAACUUUAAACAUAAGUUUUAAGUUUGAAAGAUGCAAUUGCAUCACUCAAAGAUGAUCCCGCGUUGUAUUAGCUAGUUGGUGAGGUAAAGGCUCACCAAGGCGAUGAUACAUAGCCGACCUGAGAGGGUGAUCGGCCACAUUGGGACUGAGACACGGCCCAAACUCCUACGGGAGGCAGCAGUAGGGAAUCUUCGGCAAUGGACGAAAGGCUGACCGAGCAACGCCGCGUGAGUGAAGAAGGUUUUCGGAUCGUAAAACUCUGUUGGUAGAGAAGAACGUUGGUGAGAGUGGAAAGCUCAUCAAGUGACGGUAACUACCCAGAAAGGGACGGCUAACUACGUG